Molecule: unclassified non-coding RNA, 3598 nt
Filed under: Hevea brasiliensis (rubber tree)
Lineage: Eukaryota; Viridiplantae; Streptophyta; Magnoliopsida; Malpighiales; Euphorbiaceae
Source: RNAcentral
UUUUAUUACAAAUUUAAGUUUAAGUGCUUUACUAUUAUAUACCUCUAAAUUGAGAUACUCUUUAUGUAAUUUACUAAAAAUAAAGUUAUAAUAUCUAUCCAAGUAAUCAAUUAGCCAAAAAUCAGGUGCAAUCUACUGCCUGUACAAGAUAACAUAAUUAGACCAAAAUAAGUGGGCUAGGCUAUCUGAUAUUCCUCAUAUUUACAUGAAUGUUCUGUCAUAAUAUCUUCUUGCUGUGCUGUGCUGUGCUUCGAAGCGAAGCACCACCAUCAGCCUACUCUUCAAUCAGCUUCCUUAAGUGCAAGCCAUUUGGUUCAAUUGAACAUGAAAGGAAGAAAUUUGCUUCAUUGCAAUGUUCUGCACUGAGCCCGAGUUAAAGCCAUUUCUUUGUUGUCCUUGUCGAUGAAUGAACUGGAGGGGGUGUCCUGGCAUUCCUUCUAGAGUCAUCAGAAUCAACUGGUGGUUUCCCUCCGAGAGAAGAUCGACGAGAGCUAUCUGACCCUGAUGCUUGAACUCUGUUAAGUGAUUGCUUCAUCAUUGCCCUUGCAUUAGCUGUGAGUGGUGUCUUUAAAUCUUUGCCGUUGCUGCUUGUGCCAUUGAUUGGUGAGAGUACUUCCUUUGAAUCCUGUUGAUUCCUGUAUUUUGAUGGACUCUUCUCAGAGCCAUUAAUCAGUUUUCCAAUGGUUCGCAAAGAUUUCCUUAUUUGAGAUCCUUUUCCAUUAGCACUACCAAUCAUAUUAGUUGUCUGAAAAUCUGUAGGAAGAGCAAGUUCAUUUUGCAUCAUGAUCUGAACCGUGUUUCUUGCUUGCGGUUCAGGUGUAGUUGGUAGCUGAAGAAGUGGAAUUUGUGUCGUACUGUGCAUUUUAACUAAACGCUUUUGAUGGGAAGAACUAGUAGGACUUCUGGGAGCAUUAAGACGGUACACUUCCAUCAUGGAACUGCCAACAGCAGAAUGCCCAUUCAUCUUUGACAUUGCCUCUGGAUCUCGAGAUGGUUUCUGCAGUGUUACUGCCUCAAAAGAUGGGGCGGCCUUGCCAUCUGGUGCUACCUUUGUCUGGAAAUUAUACUUUUUACUGUCUCUUGGACCUUCUAAACUUAAUCUUCUGGAACGAGUUGGUGCAGAAGGUGUUUUAGAUCUCCUUCUGUCAAUAGGAUUUAGAGUUUGAGAAUUUGUGUUGCUUCCCUUCUCAAUGCUCAGUCUCCGCACACGAGGAGGGGUUUGUUCGGUUAGUGCUUUUGGUUUCUCACAUGGAGGUCUUGGUUCCCUGCUUGCCAAUGAUUUCCUAAGGUUCUCAACCUGUUCCUUGAGUUGCAUAAUCUCACUGCUCUCUUUGUUUGCACAAGCAGCACCAAGUUCAACUGUAGAUACCCUCUGAGCAAACUUCAAUGUACUGAUUGUUUCCCCAAAAGAGUCUCCUUCGGGACUCACAUGAGCAAACAUCAAUGUUUUAGCAUGUCCACCUAAGGAGUCUUGCAGGAGAAGUGUGAGCUUGCUGUUUCUGUAAGGGACAUGAGAAUUCCUUUGAGCCAAGGCUGUGAUCACAUCUCCCAGACAGGAAAGAGACUUAUUGAUAUACUGUGCCUCUUUGAGUCUAUCUCCAGUAACUUCUGAUUUAUCUACUCUUUCACUUCCUGCAAGAUCUACCAAAUGCAGGCAACUAUGAAGGGUGCUUCCAGAUAUAUCUUUACCGUGCACAUGAACAGUCAGGAUACUAUGAGAUCGACUACUUCGGUUGUUGAUUGCAGUGGAACUGACAACUCGAUUCACCUCACCAAAUUUCAUCAGAUUAAGAACAUCAGCAGUGGACUUCACGGAGUACCUUUUAGCAUCUGGAAGACUCAAGCCAUUGUCACCACUGCAGCUGCGAAUCUCUAACUUAGUAGUUGAUGAAUCCUCUGCAAGAAGGUCUCUCACUUGCUCAUUAUAUAUUUCAACCAUUUGAACUUGAAUAUCAUAACUUAUAACCUCCUUCCUUUUCCUAGACAUCUGAAAGAGGUCAUUGAGUGCCAGAUAAUUAAUCCCCAUGUCUUUGGUUGAACCACCUGAUGGACCAGUCAUGGUAUAUGUUUUCCCUGAUCCAGUUUGACCGUAAGCAAAAAUGCAGACAUUGUAGCCAUCCAUCACAGACCUGAUUAACGGUUGGGUAUCAUUGUAUACCUCAUCUUGGGUUGCAGUAGGACCAAAUACUCUAUUAAACUGAAACAUUUUCCUUCCAUCUUUUUUGGGCUUCAAUGGAUCCAAGAUCAUUAACGAACCAUCAUUUCCAACAAAAUCUAUCACAUUACUUUUUUCACCAGCAAUGAUGGGCCUAAUUCUGCAGUAAACUCGAAUGUUUCCUUUUAAAUCCUGAACCAUGUUGUAUAAGUUCCUGUUCUCUUUCAAUACCCUGUGAUAUCCCAGAGCAGCAGUAGACAUCUCCUGUACCUGGUGUCCGAGUUCUCUCAAAUCUGUCUGAAACUUGGACUGUAAGUCUUCAAACUCUGUCUUUGUCUUUGUCAACAGGGCUUUCAGAUACACAAGUUCUUUUUCUUGCAUUUGAAAUAAAUGCCUGUGUUUGCAGUUACCCUUUCUUAAGCAAGCCCGACAACACUUAGAAUCUCCAAGUGCAGAUGAAUCCUCCAAAGGCACUGAUGUUGAAUUAUCUUGUAAGCCAAUUUUUUCUUUUAGAAAAAUCUUGAACAUUGAUUUCAACUCAGGGAAAUUGUUCUGAAUUUUAUCCUCCAAACAACUUGCCAUUAUCCUGCGCACUAACUUCUCCAUAUCCGUGUUGCCAGUAUGGAAGGACAUGAGAAUGGUGUCAUUUAUGUUUUCCUUUGCAUCAGCCAUAUGUUCAGCAAGUAACUUGAUAAUUAAAUCAGAAAGUUUCUGAAUGUCAACAUCUGCUGGCUGUUUCUCUGAUGCAGCUGACAUGUCUAAGCAUCUACAAGAGUCUGAUGAGAGGGAUCGAGAAUUGUUUGUGCUGGCAGGAUGCAUAACCAUAGGAGAUCUAAUAUGCUUAUUAAACCCAUUUCCACCGUUCAUCUGCUUGCACUCCUGGUACGAUUUAAGUGCUAAAAUGCAGUCGACCACCUUAGCUGCUGACCCUGCCUCCAGUGUAUCCAUCUCAAGAUCAGAAGCUUCAAAGGCAGGCAGCUUCAACUCUUCAAUAGCCACCAAAAAGUUCCUUACGUUCUCAAAAUACUGGUAGGCCGGUAACGGCUGCCAUUCUCGGUUUAGUGAUUGUAAAGGUGUAUGAUUUUCUACAAUCUUUGGCACUGCACCGGGAUGAACCUUGUUAAUGGCAUUGCACAGAACCAAGCCAUUUCUCAAGCGAGAAACGAACUCUUUCUCUGACGGAUGGCUGGAUAUGCCCAAUGGACCCACAAGGCUUUCAAGCCACGUGGCUGCUUGGAGUCGUCUCCAAGCUGCUUCUUCAGCUUUUCUUGAAGUCAAUAUAUCAUGUAAUCCAGCUCUUGCACAAUUCUCCAUUAAUGUCUAACCUUCUUGUUGCCUUUCUGGGUUGUCUAUCCGAUCAUAUAACCAGAAACCCUAGAAAAAUGAAAGAAAUGUCCCAGAAAGAAAAGAGAAAGAGAGCAGCGGUAGGGAGUACAGACUAAC